GGGCUGUUGGGGAGAGAGCUGACCAACACCUGUACCUCUCUCAUCUGCACACCUGGGUGCUGGCAUCCCCUGCACCAUCAGGCAGAGUGGGGGAAGCUGUGUGAAUUACUAAGUCCAUUAGCAGCCCUCCUUUGCUGCAUGGCUGUGAGCUUUCGAUGAGAGAAUCCCAAAGAGGCUCUGAAAGUCACGCGAGAGGAGAGAUGAACCAGAUGGCUUCUCUGCAAAAUCAAGAUUGGAUUUUAGGGCUUCACAUGAUUUACAAGGCAUUGUUUCCUGCUGGCAGCAGAUUGCACACUUGCAAGGAGGACAUUUGGAAAAAGCCAGAAGUGGAGUGACACCAACCGGCACAGCUACCCAGCUCUGUGUGAGGACAACAAAUGGGUGCUUAAACAGAAGUGUGCUUUCGCAUAGUGCAGUUGGAGAUAUUCUCCCUUAUGGUGACUGAUGGUCUGAAGGCAGGUGGUAGGGGAUGGGUGAGGAGGGCAGCAGAGGCCAUGGACUUCGCCAUCACCUGCCCGUGGGGAUGCCUGUGGUGGGGGAGGAUGUGUGUGCCCAAGUCUGGUACAGAAAGCUAGGGUUGUGCCACCAUCCCUAAGGGCAUUUCUAAUUGUAUCUUCUUUGGUGGGGAGGAGUGCUGGCUCGUAGGUAUCCGCCUGUGGGUUCCAUGUGGCCAAAGCCAUGAGAGGAUAUGCACACAUGUCGAUCAGAGCUGGGUUUAUCACGUCUCUUUUUCUUUAUUGCCGCCCUUCUCCGACUUUGCUUCCCACUGACUCUGUGAUUUCCUGUUAAAAUAUAACAGCAGAGCUGUGCAUUUUAAUCCCGUGUAAUUGCAGCCCUCGUCACCUCGUCCAUCCCAUGCAUCCCACCUCCACUUGCCCCUUGCCCUGCAGCGACACAUCGACAAGCUAUUACACGAGGAGGCUGUGAGGGGCUCUUGUUCUCCUUUCCUCCACCCUCUCAUUAUUUUUAGAGCUCAAGGUUCCUUGCCUCCACCCCGUGCAGCCUCCUGAAGCAGGCAGGGGCCAUGAAAGCCACCCCCGGUGCAGGUGUGACUCAGCCAUGCAGUUUCGGGGCUCUUUGUGCAGUUUGGAGGAGGAUGAGUCACAGAAGGCGAAGGCAGAGGCUCAGCUGGCAGGAUCAGGCGCUGAAGGUCCAUGGCUUCCUACAGCAAUCCCACCCCUGGUGCAGGCUGUGCACUGCAGAUGUGGGGCGACCGAUUGGAUAGGUACAAAUUAUCAUCAGGUCGGCUGUGACUGAGAGAAUUUAAAAAAAAGAAAAGAAGUUCCUUCUUCAUUAGAAGGUCUGGGGAAAAUGGUUCUCUGUUAACACAACCUUUGUCAGCUUUCUGCGGCAGGGGCAUGGGGUGUUUCCACAAACCUCCUGCAGAGCAGCAUGCAGCCCUGUAGCUCUGGACUGACAUUUUUCAGUGAAAACCAGUGAAACGGGAAUUGCCCUGAUCAGCGCUUAUAUAGGAGAUGCUAUUUAUUUUUCCUGUCCCAGACAUCAAGCAGAGCAGUGUCAAUAACUGUCUCCUGGAGACAUUUUUCUACCCUGCUUCUACAGAGACCCUAUCAAACUAAAGACAUCUACCAAUUGUUUCGUAUUCCUUUGGACUCAACUUGCUGUACAGGAGAUGGAUGAUGACUCAGAAGGCUUGGAUGCAUUGUGCGUAAAUCAGCAAUGAGAACCAAUUGUUUUAUGCUAACAUAGAAGCAGACUAGUCACCAGUUGGUUGUCCGAUAGGAGAACUUUGGCUCCUGAUGGGGAACGGUCUCAGUAUUGUGCCCAUGCCGAACUAAAUCCCAAGAGACUUGGACACAUAGCAGGCACAAGGAUGGAGCACAACUGCUGAAUACUGGUGCUGUACACAUAAUGAAUCUAUAAGCAAAAUAAGCCAUUUUGGCCUCUUGAUAAACAUACACUGUUGGGUUGAACAAGCAGUGGGCACGCACCAAAAGCACCCUUUUUCAUGGCAACAAUGCUGAAAGUCAUUUCUUGGUGCUUUUUGAGCAGAAAGGCUGCUAUGCUAGUAGAUACCUUCUCCAUAACAUCUUUAUUCCUGUGGAAAAGAUAGAUCUGGAACAAGAAAACAUUUCAGCUGUUACUCAAGUUUUGACCAAAGGCUUUGCACCAGCCAUUACAGACCUUACAGAAGAACUCUGCGAGCAUAAUUGUUGGCUUUCUGAGCAAGGGUAAAAGUUUAAAACUCGUGGCACAGAGCAUGUAAAAACAAACCAAGAGCAGUCCUGCUGUCAAGUGUCCAGUGUAUGCAGGAGCCCGGCGAGAGCCCAUGG
Gallus gallus (chicken) is the source of this 2294-nucleotide long non-coding RNA. NCBI's taxonomy places the organism in Eukaryota, Metazoa, Chordata, Aves, Galliformes, Phasianidae. The record is from Ensembl.